UGAUUCUUGCCUGGCCAUGGAUUCAGCAGCAGUUCGAGAGGUUGACCUAUUCGGGAAUCUUUGGAUUUAUGCUUAUUUUCAACUCCCCAAAGCAUUUCGUCGCUUACUAUGCCCUUCCUCGUCUCUGGGUGCCUAGGUAUCCACCGUAAGCCUUUCCUCGUCUCUGGGUCCCUAUG
Molecule: long non-coding RNA, 176 nt
Organism: Telopea speciosissima
Lineage: Eukaryota; Viridiplantae; Streptophyta; Magnoliopsida; Proteales; Proteaceae
Exons: 3
Source: RefSeq, a predicted model, not a curated record